Molecule: ribosomal RNA, 2255 nt
Filed under: human metagenome
Description: bacterial LSU rRNA
Rfam family: Bacterial large subunit ribosomal RNA
Source: RNAcentral
CCGGGACCAUCCGGUAAGGCUAAAUACUCCCGAGAGACCGAUAGCGAACCAGUACCGUGAGGGAAAGGUGAAAAGCACUUCGAACAGAAGAGUGAAAUAGUUCCUGAAACCGUGCGCCUACAAGCGGUCGGAGCUCGUUAAUGAGUGACGGCGUGCCUUUUGCAUAAUGAACCUACGAGUUGCCUUUGCCGGCAAGGUUAAGUGUGACGACACACGUAUCCGAAGCGAAAGCGAGUCUGAACAGGGCGUAUAGUCGGCAGUGGCAGACGCGAAACCAAGUGAUCUACCCUUGGCCAGGUUGAAGGCUGGGUAACACCAGCUGGAGGACCGCACCAAUAAGCGUUGAAAAGCUUCUGGAUGAGCUGAGGGUAGGGGUGAAAGGCUAAUCAAACUUGGAGAUAGCUCGUACUCCCCGAAAUGCAUUUAGGUGCAGCCUUGCGGGUUACUGAUGUGAGGUAGAGCGACUGAUAAGAUGCGAGGGCUUCACCGCCUAUCAAGUCUUGACAAACUCCGAAUGCGUGUCAGUUCUAUGUCAGGAGUGAGGGCAUGGGUGCUAAGGUCCAUGUCCUAAAGGAGAACAAUCCGGACCAACAGCUAAGGUCCCGAAAUGAAUACUAAGUUGAACUAACGAAGUCAGAUUGCUAAGACAGCUAGGAUGUUGGCUUGGAAGCAGCCAUUCAUUUAAAGAGUGCGUAACAGCUCACUAGUCGAGGAGUCGGGCGUGGAUAAUAAUCGGGUAUCAAGUUGUCUACCGAAGCAGUGGGAUCAUUAAUAUGAUCGGUAGGGGAGCAUUCCAGUCAGCGUCGAAGGCGUACCGUGAGGUAUUCUGGAGCGUCUGGAAAAGCAAAUGUAGGUAUAAGUAACGAUAAAGGGGGCGGGAAACCCCCUCGCCGAAAGACUAAGGUUUCCUGAUCAACGCUAAUCGGAUCAGGGUCAGUCGGGUCCUAAGGCUCAGCCGAACGGCGAUGCCGAUGGCAGAAACGGUUAAUAUUCCGUUACUACCUUCAGGAGUGACGUGGAGACGCAGUAGUGACAGUGCCGCCAUCUGACGGAAUAGAUGGUUGAAGGGUGUAGGAGUCGAUCAUGGCAGGCAAAUCCACCAUGAGAUCCGAACCUGACAGUAUGCCGCGUCCUUCGGGACAAGGCAAUAGUGCGCGUAAGCAUGCUGCCGAGAAAAUCCGCUAAACUUAAUCCUGCAGGUACCCGUACCGCAAACGGACACACGUAGUCGGGUUGAAUAUACUAAGGCGCUUGAGUGAUUCACGGUUAAGGAACUAGGCAAACUGACCCUGUAACUUCGGGAUAAAGGGUCCCUACCCUUUUAUGGGAGGGCGCAGAGAAUCGGUCCAGGCAACUGUUUAACAAAAACACAGGGCUGUGCCAAAUCGAAAGAUCCAGUAUACAGCCUGACACCUGCCCGGUGCUGGAAGGUUAAGAGGAGAUGUCAUCGAUAAGAGAAGCGUUGAAUUGAAGCCCCAGUAAACGGCGGCCGUAACUAUAACGGUCCUAAGGUAGCGAAAUUCCUUGUCGGGUAAGUUCCGACCUGCACGAAUGGUGUAAUGAUCUGGACACUGUCUCAACCGUGAGCUCGGUGAAAUUGUAGUAUCGGUGAAGAUGCCGAUUACCCGCGAUGGGACGAAAAGACCCCGUGAACCUUUACUAUAGCUUAUCAUUGAAUCUGGGCACGUGAUGUGUAGGAUAGGUCGGAGGCUUUGAAGCAGGUACGCCAGUAUUUGUGGAGCCGCUGUUGAAAUACGACCCUUUAUUUGUUUGGAUUCUAACCCGUGGAUACGGGGACAUUGAUUGGUGGGUAGUUUGACUGGGGUGGUCGCCUCCAAAAGCGUAACGGAGGCUUCUAAAGGUGCCCUCCGGCCGAUUGGUAACCGGCCUUAGAGUGUAAUGGCAUAAGGGCGCUUGACUGGGAGACUGACAAGUCGAUCAGGUAGGAAACUAGAGCAUAGUGAUCCGGUGUUUCCGUAUGGAAGGGACAUCGCUCAAAGGAUAAAAGGUACUCCGGGGAUAACAGGCUGAUCCCUCCCAAGAGCUCAUAUCGACGGAGUGGUUUGGCACCUCGAUGUCGGCUCGUCACAUCCUGGGGCUGGAGAAGGUCCCAAGGGUUCGGCUGUUCGCCGAUUAAAGUGGCACGCGAGCUGGGUUCAGAACGUCGUGAGACAGUUCGGUCUCUAUCUAUCGUGGGCGUAUGAAAUUUGCGUGGCUCUGACACUAGUACGAGAGGACCGUGUUGGACAGACCUC